RNAcentral lists this ribosomal RNA (1802 nucleotides) under Escherichia coli. Its description in RNAcentral is "partial 23S ribosomal RNA". It matches the Rfam family "Bacterial large subunit ribosomal RNA", at positions 419 to 2207 of the family's 2925-position model. Lineage: Bacteria; Pseudomonadati; Pseudomonadota; Gammaproteobacteria; Enterobacterales; Enterobacteriaceae. The record is from RNAcentral.
GGGACACGUGGUAUCCUGUCUGAAUAUGGGGGGACCAUCCUCCAAGGCUAAAUACUCCUGACUGACCGAUAGUGAACCAGUACCGUGAGGGAAAGGCGAAAAGAACCCCGGCGAGGGGAGUGAAAAAGAACCUGAAACCGUGUACGUACAAGCAGUGGGAGCACGCUUAGGCGUGUGACUGCGUACCUUUUGUAUAAUGGGUCAGCGACUUAUAUUCUGUAGCAAGGUUAACCGAAUAGGGGAGCCGAAGGGAAACCGAGUCUUAACUGGGCGUUAAGUUGCAGGGUAUAGACCCGAAACCCGGUGAUCUAGCCAUGGGCAGGUUGAAGGUUGGGUAACACUAACUGGAGGACCGAACCGACUAAUGUUGAAAAAUUAGCGGAUGACUUGUGGCUGGGGGUGAAAGGCCAAUCAAACCGGGAGAUAGCUGGUUCUCCCCGAAAGCUAUUUAGGUAGCGCCUCGUGAAUUCAUCUCCGGGGGUAGAGCACUGUUUCGGCAAGGGGGUCAUCCCGACUUACCAACCCGAUGCAAACUGCGAAUACCGGAGAAUGUUAUCACGGGAGACACACGGCGGGUGCUAACGUCCGUCGUGAAGAGGGAAACAACCCAGACCGCCAGCUAAGGUCCCAAAGUCAUGGUUAAGUGGGAAACGAUGUGGGAAGGCCCAGACAGCCAGGAUGUUGGCUUAGAAGCAGCCAUCAUUUAAAGAAAGCGUAAUAGCUCACUGGUCGAGUCGGCCUGCGCGGAAGAUGUAACGGGGCUAAACCAUGCACCGAAGCUGCGGCAGCGACACUAUGUGUUGUUGGGUAGGGGAGCGUUCUGUAAGCCUGCGAAGGUGUGCUGUGAGGCAUGCUGGAGGUAUCAGAAGUGCGAAUGCUGACAUAAGUAACGAUAAAGCGGGUGAAAAGCCCGCUCGCCGGAAGACCAAGGGUUCCUGUCCAACGUUAAUCGGGGCAGGGUGAGUCGACCCCUAAGGCGAGGCCGAAAGGCGUAGUCGAUGGGAAACAGGUUAAUAUUCCUGUACUUGGUGUUACUGCGAAGGGGGGACGGAGAAGGCUAUGUUGGCCGGGCGACGGUUGUCCCGGUUUAAGCGUGUAGGCUGGUUUUCCAGGCAAAUCCGGAAAAUCAAGGCUGAGGCGUGAUGACGAGGCACUACGGUGCUGAAGCAACAAAUGCCCUGCUUCCAGGAAAAGCCUCUAAGCAUCAGGUAACAUCAAAUCGUACCCCAAACCGACACAGGUGGUCAGGUAGAGAAUACCAAGGCGCUUGAGAGAACUCGGGUGAAGGAACUAGGCAAAAUGGUGCCGUAACUUCGGGAGAAGGCACGCUGAUAUGUAGGUGAAGUCCCUCGCGGAUGGAGCUGAAAUCAGUCGAAGAUACCAGCUGGCUGCAACUGUUUAUUAAAAACACAGCACUGUGCAAACACGAAAGUGGACGUAUACGGUGUGACGCCUGCCCGGUGCCGGAAGGUUAAUUGAUGGGGUUAGCGCAAGCGAAGCUCUUGAUCGAAGCCCCGGUAAACGGCGGCCGUAACUAUAACGGUCCUAAGGUAGCGAAAUUCCUUGUCGGGUAAGUUCCGACCUGCACGAAUGGCGUAAUGAUGGCCAGGCUGUCUCCACCCGAGACUCAGUGAAAUUGAACUCGCUGUGAAGAUGCAGUGUACCCGCGGCAAGACGGAAAGACCCCGUGAACCUUUACUAUAGCUUGACACUGAACAUUGAGCCUUGAUGUGUAGGAUAGGUGGGAGGCUUUGAAGUGUGGACGCCAGUCUGCAUGGAGCCGACCUUGAAAUACCACCCUU